GAUGAACGCUGGCGGCGUGCCUAAUACAUGCAAGUCGAGCGCGAGAGUGAGGAGCUUGCUCCUCAUGAUCGAGCGGCGGACGGGUGAGUAACACGUAGGCAACCUACCCUUGAGAUUGGGAUAACUACCGGAAACGGUAGCUCAUACCGGAUACGACUUUUCCACAUAAGUGGAAUGGUUAAAAGGCGGACUUAUCUGCCGCUCAUGGAUGGGCCUGAGGUGCAUUAGCUAGUUGGUGAGGUAGUGGCUCACCAAGGCGACGAUGCAUAGCCGACCUGAGAGGGUGAUCGGCCACACUGGGACUGAGACACGGCCCAGACUCCUACGGGAGGCAGCGGUAGGGAAUCUUCCGCAAUGGACGCAAGUCUGACGGAGCAACGCCGCGUGAGUGAUGAAGGGUUUCGGCUCGUAAAACUCUGUUGUUAAGGAAGAACACUUGUGGUAGUAACUGGCCUUGAGAUGACGGUACUUAACCAGAAAGCCACGGCUAACUACGUGCCAGCAGCCGCGGUAA
RNAcentral lists this ribosomal RNA (514 nucleotides) under uncultured bacterium. RNAcentral's name for it is "partial 16S ribosomal RNA". It matches the Rfam family "Bacterial small subunit ribosomal RNA", at positions 28 to 523 of the family's 1533-position model. The record is from RNAcentral.